This 492-nucleotide ribosomal RNA is filed under the name uncultured bacterium. Its description in RNAcentral is "partial 16S ribosomal RNA". It matches the Rfam family "Bacterial small subunit ribosomal RNA", at positions 29 to 507 of the family's 1533-position model. The record is from RNAcentral.
AGUGAACGCUGGCGGUAGGCCUAACACAUGCAAGUCGAACGGCAGCACAGUAAGAGCUUGCUCUUACGGGUGGCGAGUGGCGGACGGGUGAGGAAUACAUCGGAAUCUACUUUUUCGUGGGGGAUAACGUAGGGAAACUUACGCUAAUACCGCAUACGACCUACGGGUGAAAGCAGGGGAUCUUCGGACCUUGCGCGAUUGAAUGAGCCGAUGUCGGAUUAGCUAGUUGGCGGGGUAAAGGCCCACCAAGGCGACGAUCCGUAGCUGGUCUGAGAGGAUGAUCAGCCACACUGGAACUGAGACACGGUCCAGACCCCUACGGGAGGCAGCAGUGGGGAAUAUUGGACAAUGGGCGCAAGCCUGAUCCAGCCAUACCGCGUGGGUGAAGAAGGCCUUCGGGUUGUAAAGCCCUUUUGUUGGGAAAGAAAAGCAGAAGGUUAAUACCCCGCUGUUCUGACGGUACCCAAAGAAUAAGCACCGGCUAACUUCGUG